AGGCCUUCGGGUCGUAAAGCUCUGUUGUUAGGGAAGAACAAGUACCAGAGUAACUGCUCGUACCUUGACGGUACCUAACCAGAAAGCCACGGCUAACUACGUGCCAGCAGCCGCGGUAAUACGUAGGUGGCAAGCGUUGUCCGGAAUUAUUGGGCGUAAAGCGCGCGCAGGCAGUUCCUUAAGUCUGAUGUGAAAGCCCACGGCUCAACCGUGGAGGGUCAUUGGAAACUGGGGAACUUGAGUGCAGAAGAGGAGAGCGGAAUUCCACGUGUAGCGGUGAAAUGCGUAGAGAUGUGGAGGAACACCAGUGGCGAAGGCGGCUCUCUGGUCUGUAACUGACGCUGAGGCGCGAAAGCGUGGGGGGCAAACAGGAUUAGAUACCCUGGUAGUCCACGCCGUAAACGAUGAGUGCUAAGUGUUAGAGGGUUUCCGCCCUUUAGUGCUGCAGCUAACGCAUUAAGCACUCCGCCUGGGGAGUACGGUCGCAAGACUGAAACUCAAAGGAAUUGACGGGGGCCCGCACAAGCGGUGGAGCAUGUGGUUUAAUUCGAAGCAACGCGAAGAACCUUACCAGGUCUUGACAUCCUCUGACAACUCUAGAGAUAGAGCGUUCCCCUUCGGGGGACAGAGUGACAGGUGGUGCAUGGUUGUCGUCAGCUCGUGUCGUGAGAUGUUGGGUUAAGUCCCGCAACGAGCGCAACCCUUGAUCUUAGUUGCCAG
Molecule: ribosomal RNA, 720 nt
Filed under: uncultured bacterium
Lineage: Bacteria
Description: bacterial SSU rRNA
Rfam family: Bacterial small subunit ribosomal RNA
Source: RNAcentral